RNAcentral lists this transfer RNA (70 nucleotides) under Loxodonta africana (African savanna elephant). It matches the Rfam family "tRNA". Rfam says of the family: Transfer RNA (tRNA) molecules are approximately 80 nucleotides in length. Their secondary structure includes four short double-helical elements and three loops (D, anti-codon, and T loops). Lineage: Eukaryota; Metazoa; Chordata; Mammalia; Proboscidea; Elephantidae. The record is from Rfam by way of RNAcentral.
GCAGUGUGGUUCAGUGGUAGAGUUCUCGCCUUCCAUGCAAGAGACCCAGGUUCGAUUCCCAGACAAUGCA